GAAGGAAGCACCAUCUGACCCUCAAUCAUCACACGUCCAUGGAGAACAAUUAGCAGUGCAAUCAGAACUGUACAUUAUUCCAGAAUGUGCAGUUUCAAGAAAUCAGAUGGAACGUGAGGGGAAGAUUGGGGGAAGGCUGAAUCCUGAAAUAAAGUUUCAAUUUGAUGUUUAUAUUCAGAAGAUAAACAUUGACCUUUCUCCAGAUUUAAAAAUGACUGAGUAAUUAGUAAUACUAGUUGUGGGGUCCCAUGAUCUGACCACGAGCGAGGUGUUCCACAGAAGUGAGCUUUUCAGAUAAUUGAAUUUCUGAAUCAACUCUGUCCACACCCUGGUUUUCUUCUCCUUCCUUCCUGUCAAUUUAUGCUAUCUUAUUGGAUUUUGUGUAUUCUUGUAAGUCAUCUUUAAUCUUGGGCGGAACCUGGCAAGGCCUGUAGAAAUAAAUAGAUGCAUUUAAAAAACUAAAAAAUGGCAGAUAACUACAUGAACCUUGCCUUUUUAAAGCACCAAUACUUUUUUUAACUUGAAAAUUUUUCUGAAAUAAACUACAUGCUUCAUUG
Long non-coding RNA from Manis pentadactyla (Chinese pangolin), 557 nucleotides. RefSeq lists it as uncharacterized. The transcript has 2 exons. The record is from RefSeq and is a predicted model, not a curated record. Lineage: Eukaryota; Metazoa; Chordata; Mammalia; Pholidota; Manidae.